Molecule: RNA transcript, 403 nt
Organism: Sapajus apella (tufted capuchin)
Lineage: Eukaryota; Metazoa; Chordata; Mammalia; Primates; Cebidae
Gene name: 60S ribosomal protein L31 pseudogene
Exons: 1
Source: RefSeq, a predicted model, not a curated record
CUCGGACCCGGCAGAAUGGCUCCUGCAAAGAAGGGUGGCGAGAAGAAAAAGGGCCGUUCUGCCAUCAACAUUCACAAGCGCAUCCAUGGAGUGGGCUUCAAGAAGUGUGCCCCUCGGGCACUCAAAGAGAUUCGGAAAUUUGCUAUGAAGGAGAUGGGAACUCCAGAUGUGCGCAUUGAUACCAGGCUCAACAAAGCUGUCUGGGCCAAAGGAAUAAGAAAUGUCCCAUACUGAAUCCGUGUGCGGUUGUCCAGAAAACGUAAUGAGGAUGAAGAUUCACCAAAUAAGCUCUAUACUUUGGUUACCUAUGUACCCGUUACCACUUUCAAAAAUCUACAGACAGUCAAUGUGGAUGAGAACUAAUCGCUGAUCGUCAAAUAUAUCAAAUAAACUUAAAAAAAUU